This 85-nucleotide transfer RNA is filed under the name Felis catus (domestic cat). It matches the Rfam family "tRNA". From Rfam's summary of the family: Transfer RNA (tRNA) molecules are approximately 80 nucleotides in length. The record is from Rfam by way of RNAcentral. Lineage: Eukaryota; Metazoa; Chordata; Mammalia; Carnivora; Felidae.
GCCUGGGUGGCUCAGUCGGUUAAGCACUCGACUUCGGCUCAGGUCAUGAUCUGGCAGUUCGUGGGUUCGAGCCCCACUCUGGGCU